AUUGAACGCUGGCGGCAGGCUUAACACAUGCAAGUCGAGCGGGGUGAUGGUGCUUGCACUAUCACUUAGCGGCGGACGGGUGAGUAAUGCUUAGGAAUCUGCCUAUUAGUGGGGGACAACAUCUCGAAAGGGAUGCUAAUACCGCAUACGUCCUACGGGAGAAAGCAGGGGAUCACUUGUGACCUUGCGCUAAUAGAUGAGCCUAAGUCGGAUUAGCUAGUUGGUGGGGUAAAGGCCUACCAAGGCGACGAUCAGUGGCUGGUCUGAGAGGACGAUAAGCCACACUGGGACUGAGACACGGCCCAGACUCCUACGGGAGGCAGCAGUGGGGAAUUUUGGACAAUGGGCGAAAGCCUGAUCCAGCAAUGCCGCGUGUGUGAAGAAGGCCUUCGGGUUGUAAAGCACUUUUGUCCGGAAAGAAAUGGCUCUGGUUAAUACCUGGGGUCGAUGACGGUACCGGAAGAAUAAGGACCGGCUAACUACGUGCCAGCCGCCGCUGUAA
RNAcentral lists this ribosomal RNA (502 nucleotides) under uncultured bacterium. RNAcentral describes it as "partial 16S ribosomal RNA". It matches the Rfam family "Bacterial small subunit ribosomal RNA", at positions 30 to 523 of the family's 1533-position model. The record is from RNAcentral.